RNAcentral lists this long non-coding RNA (1052 nucleotides) under Calidris pugnax (ruff). RNAcentral's name for it is "lncRNA (ENSCPUG00000008811.1)". The record is from RNAcentral. Lineage: Eukaryota; Metazoa; Chordata; Aves; Charadriiformes; Scolopacidae.
GGAUAUCUCCACAUCUGUCAGGUGGAAAACAGAGAAAUACCACAGAAACCAUCCCCCCAGCCCCUCAAACCUCUUUCAAACAGGGUGGUAAUGCAGAUGAACUCAACACCAGCAGAAGACCAGACAUUACCUGCACAGAUGAAUUUUGAGACAAAAAAUAGGGAUGAAGUAACAUGACCAAGGCUGCACGGUAAAGCAGUAGCAAAGACCGAUAAUGGAGGCCUGGAUUUUUCAGUCUGAGAAUUGGAAAGACCAUUCUGGUAGUCCUUGGAAAGACCACCUGGCACCUAGGGAAGCAAUGAAAGGACUAUCUUGGUUUGUCUGCAAGAUACACAUCAUCAGGCACCCCCUUUUAAUCCUUGUCUGGGCUAUUCAGAGAGCUCAUACUCUGUCUGUGGCAGAAAUUGCCUCUUAUCUUGUAAAACACCUUGCACACAAUAAACAACGUGCUCCUCUUGGGUAGCUUCACAGGGAUCCUUCUAACUAAGCUGUUUGUGUGAGUAAUAGGGUCCCUGCUGCAGAUCCCUCAAGAAUUACAAAAUGAAUGUGAGAGCCUGGGUUGCUUUUACCACCUUUCUCCUGCUCUGAGACUGACCUGUGAGAUUGUUGGAGCUCACCCAUGGUGAAGAGACACCUCUUAGGCUGCCAGCUGCCUGAUUUCUGCUGUGGUAGAACUGUGGGUUCCAUUUCACUGUGGUUUUGGUGGCUGCUGCAUAAAACCGUGGCUGCUCGUGGGGCUCGUGGUCUCCCUCCAUCCCCUGGAGAGACUCCAGUUGGCACAGCCUGCAGCCCCACUCCCCUACGCAGAGGAAGAGUUGCCAGUGACUUCUGCAAUGGCUUCGUGGUGGAACCACACGUGACUAUGCAACCUGGCGAGUGUCUACACCCCAUCCAUUUAUCACUGACAUGGCAAGGAACAAAAUUCAAGAAUUGUUUGUGCAGCGUGAACAAAAAAGGCUACGGUGGCCAGCGCAGAGGAAGCACAGCUUACAGUCUGCUUGUGUGUUCACCCUGGCCUCGGCCACGUGUUGCUAUUGGCCAUAAAAAUAUCC